This 67-nucleotide transfer RNA is filed under the name Marmota monax (woodchuck). RNAcentral describes it as "tRNA.Tyr". The record is from RNAcentral. Lineage: Eukaryota; Metazoa; Chordata; Mammalia; Rodentia; Sciuridae.
GGAAUGUAGCUCAGUGGUAGAGUGCUUGCCUAUAGUGCAUGAAGCCUUGGGUUCAAUCUUAUCACCA